Molecule: ribosomal RNA, 254 nt
Filed under: uncultured bacterium
Lineage: Bacteria
Description: partial 16S ribosomal RNA
Rfam family: Bacterial small subunit ribosomal RNA
Source: RNAcentral
UACAGAGGGCGCGAGCGUUGUCCGGAAUCACUGGGCGUAAAGGGCGCGUAGGUGGCCACUAUAAGGCCGCGGUGAAAGUUCGGGGCUCAACCCUGAAUCUGCCGCGGCGACUGUAGGGCUUGGGCACCGUAGAGGCAGAUGGAAUUCCGGGUGUAGCGGUGGAAUGCGUAGAUAUCGAGAAGAACACUUAGGGCGAAGGCAAGACUCUGGACAAAUGCUGACGCUCAUGCACGAAGGCUAGGGUAGCGAACGGG